Molecule: long non-coding RNA, 307 nt
Filed under: Homo sapiens (human)
Lineage: Eukaryota; Metazoa; Chordata; Mammalia; Primates; Hominidae
Description: non-protein coding lnc-CD44-3:1
Source: RNAcentral
CUUUCUGCUCCCCAACCCCUACCCCAAGCCUCACUCUGGUGAGAGAAAGAACUGGAAGAGAAGGUGCUGUGGUCCCAGGCAUUACAGCAACUGAACAUAUUCUGAACCAGGAGGCCUGAUUAGUAGCCACUGCUCUGUUCUCAUCAUAUUCUUGCAAGAGGAAGUGGUGGUGGUUUUCCCCGCAAUCAGGAAGGAAUUCCAUCAUUCAUCUGCUAAGGCAGCACCUCCCUGAAAUAAUCUCUUCUCCCAGUCAGGCCUAGCUGGCUCCUUUCCCUCUGCAGCAGGAUUGGGAAGGUUGGCCUUAUUA